CACCGCGGUUAUACGAAAGACCCCAGUUGAUAAACACGGCGUAAAGGGUGGUUAAGGGAAACAACUAAUAAAGCUAAAGACCCUCUAAGCCGUCAUACGCACUCCGAGGUCACGAAACCCAAACACGAAAGUAGCUUUAAACCUAUAACACCUGACCCCACGAAAGCUAAGAAA
RNAcentral lists this ribosomal RNA (174 nucleotides) under Clarias gariepinus (North African catfish). RNAcentral's name for it is "partial 12S rRNA". RNAcentral also lists the same sequence under 1 other name. Lineage: Eukaryota; Metazoa; Chordata; Actinopteri; Siluriformes; Clariidae. The record is from RNAcentral.